UGGGGAAUAUUGGACAAUGGGCGAAAGCCUGAUCCAGCCAUGCCGCGUGUGUGAAGAAGGUCUUCGGAUUGUAAAGCACUUUAAGUUGGGAGGAAGGGCAGUAAGCGAAUACCUUGCUGUUUUGACGUUACCGACAGAAUAAGCACCGGCUAACUCUGUGCCAGCAGCCGCGGUAAUACAGAGGGUGCGAGCGUUAAUCGGAUUUACUGGGCGUCAAGCGUGCGUAGGCGGCUAAUUGAGUCGGAUGUGAAAUCCCCGAGCUUAACUUGGGAAUUGCAUUCGAUACUGGUUAGCUAGAGUGUGGGAGAGGAUGGUAGAAUUCCAGGUGUAGCGGUGAAAUGCGUAGAGAUCUGGAGGAAUACCGAUGGCGAAGGCAGCCAUCUGGCCUAACACUGACGCUGAGGUACGAAAGCAUGGGGAGCAAACAGG
This 429-nucleotide ribosomal RNA is filed under the name Pseudomonadota bacterium. RNAcentral's name for it is "Proteobacteria bacterium partial 16S ribosomal RNA". It matches the Rfam family "Bacterial small subunit ribosomal RNA", at positions 355 to 776 of the family's 1533-position model. Lineage: Bacteria; Pseudomonadati; Pseudomonadota. The record is from RNAcentral.